GAGGCCAAGGGAUGAGGUUCGACAUGGCCAAGUGCCGGGUCCUGCACUUUGGCCACAACAACCCCAUGCAGCGCUACAGGCUGGGGGCAGAGUAACUCGAAAGCUGUGCAGAGGAAAAGGAUCCGGGGGUGAUGAUUGAUGCUCAACUGGACAUGAGCCAGCAGUGUGCCCAGGUGGCCAAGAAGGCCAACGGCCUCCUGGCUUGUGUCAGGAAUAGUGCAGCCAGCAGGAGGGGAGAUGAUCUUGGAGGUCUUUUCCAACCUUAAUGAUUCUA
This is a long non-coding RNA of Cygnus olor (mute swan), 274 nucleotides long. RefSeq lists it as uncharacterized. The record is from RefSeq and is a predicted model, not a curated record. The transcript is spliced from 3 exons. NCBI's taxonomy places the organism in Eukaryota, Metazoa, Chordata, Aves, Anseriformes, Anatidae.